GACGAACGCUGGCGGCGUGCUUAACACAUGCAAGUCGAACGGAAAGGCCCUGCUUUUGUUGGGUGCUCGAGUGGCGAACGGGUGAGUAACACGUGAGUAACCUGCCCUUUACUUUCGUAUAACUUCAGGAAACUGGGGCUAAUACCGGAUAGGAGCUCCUGCUGCAUGUUGGGGCUUGGAAAUUUUCGGCGGUUGGGGAUGGUCUCGCGGCUUAUCAGCUUGUUGGUGGGGUAGUGGCUUACCAUGGCUUUGACGGGUAGCCGGCCUGAGAGGGUGACCGGCCACAUUGGGACUGAGAUACGGCCCAGACUCCUACGGGAGGCAGCAGUGGGGAAUAUUGCACAAUGGGCGGAAGCCUGAUGCAGCAACGCCGGGUGCGGGAUGGCGGGCUUCGGGUUGUAAACCGCUUUCGCCUGUGACGAAGCGUGAGUGACGGUAAUGGGUAAAGAAGCACCGGCUAACUACGUG
RNAcentral lists this ribosomal RNA (468 nucleotides) under uncultured bacterium. RNAcentral describes it as "partial 16S ribosomal RNA". It matches the Rfam family "Bacterial small subunit ribosomal RNA", at positions 28 to 507 of the family's 1533-position model. The record is from RNAcentral.